RNAcentral lists this ribosomal RNA (1454 nucleotides) under metagenome. RNAcentral's name for it is "bacterial LSU rRNA". It matches the Rfam family "Bacterial large subunit ribosomal RNA", at positions 1482 to 2925 of the family's 2925-position model. The record is from RNAcentral.
UUAACUCAGCCAACUGUUGGAUAUGUUGGUUCAAGCCUGUAGUCGUGCCUGGUAGGUAAAUCCGCCGGGCUUAGAUGAGGGGUGAUAACGAGACUGCUUGCAGUCGAAGUGAGUGAUACCCUGCUUCCAGGAAAAGCCACUAAGCUUCAGCUACACACGACCGUACCGCAAACCGACACUGGUGCGCGAGAUGAGUAUUCUAAGGCGCUUGAGAGAACUCAGGAGAAGGAACUCGGCAAAUUGACACCGUAACUUCGGAAGAAGGUGUGCCUUUAGUAGGUGAAGUCCCUCGCGGAUGGAGCCCAAUGAGGUUGCAAAAAAUCGGUGGCUGCGACUGUUUAAUAAAAACACAGCACUCUGCAAACACGAAAGUGGACGUAUAGGGUGUGACGCCUGCCCGGUGCUGGAAGAUUAAAUGAUGGGGUGCAAGCUCUUGAUUGAAGUCCCAGUAAACGGCGGCCGUAACGAUAACGGUCCUAAGGUAGCGAAAUUCCUUGUCGGGUAAGUUCCGACCUGCACGAAUGGCGUAACGAUGGCCACACUGUCUCCUCCUGAGACUCAGCGAAGUUGAAAUGUUUGUGAUGAUGCAAUCUCCCCGCGGAAAGACGGAAAGACCCCAUGAACCUUUACUGUAGCUUUGUAUUGGACUUUGAACGGAUCUGUGUAGGAUAGGUGGGAGGCUUUGAAGCAGGGUCGCUAGAUCUUGUGGAGCCAACGUUGAAAUACCACCCUGGUGCGUUUGAGGUUCUAACCUAGACCCGUUAUCCGGGUUGGGGACAGUGCAUGGUAGGCAGUUUGACUGGGGCGGUCUCCUCCCAAAGCGUAACGGAGGAGUUCGAAGGUACGCUAGGUACGGUCGGACAUCGUGCUAAUAGUGCAAUGGCAUAAGCGUGCUUAACUGCGAGACUGACAAGUCGAGCAGAUGCGAAAGCAGGACAUAGUGAUCCGGUGGUUCUGUAUGGAAGGGCCAUCGCUCAACGGAUAAAAGGUACUCUGGGGAUAACUGGCUGAUACCGCCCAAGAGUUCAUAUCGACGGCGGUGUUUGGCACCUCGAUGUCGGCUCAUCUCAUCCUGGGGCUGUAGCCGGUCCCAAGGGUAUGGCUGUUCGCCAUUUAAAGAGGUACGUGAGCUGGGUUUAAAACGUCGUGAGACAGUUUGGUCCCUAUCUUCCGUGGGCGCUGCAGAUUUGAAGAAGCCUGCUCCUAGUACGAGAGGACCGGAGUGGACGCACCUCUGGUGUAUCGGUUGUCACGCCAGUGGCAUUGCCGAGUAGCUAUGUGCGGAAGAGAUAACCGCUGAAAGCAUCUAAGCGGGAAACUCGUUCUAAGAUGAGAUCUGCCGGGGCCUUGAGCCCCCUAAAGAGUCGUUCAAGACCAGGACGUUGAUAGGUCAGGUGUGGAAGCGCAGUAAUGCGUUAAGCUAACUGAUACUAAUUGCUCGUGCGGCUUGAUCA